Aethalodelphis obliquidens (Pacific white-sided dolphin) is the source of this 4759-nucleotide long non-coding RNA. RefSeq lists it as uncharacterized. The transcript has 3 exons. The record is from RefSeq and is a predicted model, not a curated record. NCBI's taxonomy places the organism in Eukaryota, Metazoa, Chordata, Mammalia, Artiodactyla, Delphinidae.
ACGUGGGAUCUUUCCAGACAGGGGAACGAACCCGUGUCCCCUGCAUCGGCAGGCGUACUCUCAACCACUGCGCCACCAGGGAAGCCCUAUGCAUGUCUUAAGGGUCAUAAAGUGACCGGUACUGUUCACCAGUAUCGGAAGGACCUUAUCCUUGUCCUUAAUAGUAGUCUUUACUAUUUUGCCAGGCUUUUCCCUCUCAUUUAUAUCCAAGGCCUCUCAUUUUUCCCCCACUGCCACCAUAUUGAGCAUACAUCUCUUCCCUGCACACUGCUUUCAAGAAGUCUGCACAUCUUUGACUCCUUCAGCUUGCCUUCCUCAUUUCUGUUACAAUUCCAAAAUAAAAAACUGAUCUCUGCUGCAGUGGUUUUCGAAGCAUGGUCCCUGGAUCAGUAGCAGCAGCAGCACCUCACAACCUGUUAGAAAUAUAAAUUCUUAGGCCCUUGGUCUUCUAAAUCAGAAAUUCCAAGAGUUGAGUCUAGCAAUCUGUCUUUUUAAUAAGCCCUCCAGGUGAUUGUGAUGCAUGCUAACAUUUGAGGGCCACUGCUCUACCCCUGGUGAGAUGCCCCUCUCCAGUGAUCUCUUUCCACACCAGCAGGGAGCUCCAGCCCCAAUAUGUCUACCUCUAUUACCCUUGAAAAUACGUUGAGGUUCUUUUACAGAGAUCCCACAGAGAAUCUGAGUUAGCAGUCUUCCUGCAAUCCCUGUUCCCUUCACUUUUAUGUUGAAAUUUAUGGGAUUUCAGGAAGAGAUCUCUAUCUCUAUGCCCAAAUUUCCCCCUUUUUAUAAAGACACCAGUCGUAUUGGAUUAGAGCCCACACUAAUGACCUCAUUUUAAUUUGAUUACUUCUGUAAAUACCUUAUUUCCAAAUAAGGUCACAUAUUGGGGCACUGGGAAUUAGGACUUCUAUAUAUCCUUCUGGAGGGACACAAUUCCACCCAAAACAAAGACCAUAGAAUUUUACUGGAGGCUCUGGGAAAAUCCCCUUUAUGUGUCCUGGGAAACUUCAACACCACCAAGAGAAGGGAUUAAUUUUCCCUUCUCUUGGGGGAAUUAAGAAACAAUGACAAUUGUCUAUUCUUAAGGAAGUAAGCCAGGUCUGGGUGCUUCUUCUCUGACAUAGACUGCAUAUUUGCAAGAGAGAGGGAAGCACAGAGCAUAUACAACCUCCCCGUUUAAGGCUCUUGAUGGAAUUUGCCCCCCAAAUAGCUUUAAUUUUAUCAAAUGAAGGAUGUGAUCGGAUAUCACCAGGGAACCACAAUUUCUACCCUUAGAAGGCAGAAAAUUGGCCCAAGCAUCCGCCAAUCCCAUUGCCCAGCCUUUUGCUCAGUCACCUGUUAGAAUUCCAAAAUACAAAACCGAUCUCUGCUGCAAUGGUUUUUAUUGCCCGCCCCCCCACCCCCAAGUCUAGGCAGUAGUUGUGAAAUAAUUCUCAGCUACUGCCACAAAGUAGCAAAAGAGACAUAGCAUCGUGGUCUUCUGUAACUUCCACUUCGUUGUAAUUAAAAGCAGCAAGAAUUCCUUUUCACAUAGGGAACAUGGAAACUCAAGUUUGGUGGAUCCUAGACAGAUGCUCAAACAUUUGGAGAACUGAUGUGUGGCUCCUCUUCUCCGUGUCAAGAGGCGUGACAGUGUAAUUCUCUCGCCUAUUCUGGCCCCGUUCCCAGGCUCCCCUCCGGAGGCCGGCAGCCUUGGGCUUCUAGGUAGGAUGAGGAGCGGGAGCGUGAGAGUUGUCAGGAAUCCUGGGCACCUUGAGUACCAGUCUGGGCUCAGAAUCCGGCCUCAGUCCCUAUGGAAGGACGUCUCAGUCCGUCUCCUUCCGCAGUCGCCAGUAGUAAUAGCCUCCACCGGGCUACAACUGCGCAGGGGAAACAGGACCUCUCUGGGAGACGCAGAAAUGGGAGACACAGAGAUACAAAAGGGACUGGAAGCUCCCGCGAAGCAGGAACCGAUCCGACCUAAAAAACAGCCUCCCUUCCCGCAGGCUGAACUGGGGAGGAAGACUGCAGACUCUGCUUGGGCUGGCACUAGGGAGCGGGCAUUGAUCGGCGUCGGCUAUUUGCGCUUUCGGCCAAGAGAAGAAAAAGGGAACUAGGAAACAAGCUUUUUUUUUUUCCCCAGUCGUUUAACGCACGCACUGUGCAUGACUUCUGGAGACUUCUCUCCCGGCUUCAGAACCGAAAAGUAUCAAAGUCAAAAUUUAGCAAAGAAUUGAAGUCGCGGCGCGCGGGGUGGUGACAGGGAAAGACAGUUUGCUCUUUCUUAUUCCACCACCGCGAUCCCCAAGUGAUCUGGAGUCUAAAUCAAGGAGUUCAUUCGUCCUUUCAACAGCUUUUGAGCGCUUACUGGACGCCAGGCGGAAGCUGACGUGACCCGCCUUCGCAAAGAUGUUACAUUCUAGAUCCCAAGUGCUGUGCUUUGGGAGGGGAUACUUGGUUUUGAAGGUCUUUCUCUUUUAGCUCCUGGAGUGAGAAGAGCUGUUUGGGUUGGGUGAAUGCAGGUUCGAGUCCUAGUAGAGCUGAGAAGAACUUUCUUAGUGUCCCUUGGUGAUACCUAGAAUCAUGGUUUCGGGUCAGGGAGUUGGGAACAACGCGGGAAAAAAAAAGGGCAGAAAUGUAUAACUAGUAAGUGUACAGAAUUAUACGGUAUACGCUUGGUAGCGUGGCCGAGCGGUCUAAGGCGCUGGAUUUAGGCUCCAGUCUCUCUGGAGGCGUGGGUUCGAAUCCCACCGCUGCCAAGGUUUUCCUUCUUAAUCACAAGCGAUCACUGCCCGGGUCCUCACUACAGGAGCGGAUAAGGACUUGCCAAAGGUGUUGCAUUUAAGCUGGGGCGUUCAAGUUGAGGAGAGGUGGAGAGCCUUGAAACCGGCGGGGUGGAGUGGUGUUAGGCUCCCGGAAGCAGGAACCGAUCCAAUCUAAACGACAGCCGCCCUCCCUGCAGGCUGAAUUGGAGAGUAAGACUCUGCAGACUCCGGGUUGGGGCACGGAGGGGAGCGGGGAGCGAAGUAAGACUUUGUCUCAUCAUUUUCUCUUAAGUGUUAACACGGCAAAAUUCGGGCAGAUGCAAAGUGUCCCUGUGCAGUUUCUGCUGCUGACUGCCUCUGGAACCCCUACAGUUUCCUACGGGAUGUUCUCUAUUUUUCCACUGGUCUCCCCGCUACAACAGCACCCCCCACCCACCCACCCACCCUUUCUCUUUCCGUCUCUCCCUCCAGGUAAAGGUGGUAAAGUCAAGCCAGUAAAGGACGAUGGGUUAAGCAGAAAGCGAAUCAUCGAGGGAGGCAACUGCUCACCAGCUCAGGGAAGUGAUUCAAUUCCCAGGCUUGAGCCAGCCAAGGAAGAGUACCCUGACCGCCCCCCCACCCCCAGCCCGCAAGGGGAAACAUUCAGUCUUUUAUCAUUAAGUUGAUGUUGGUUGGAAGUUUUUCAUAGAUGUCCUUUAUCAUAUUGAAGAAGUUCCCUUCUUUUCCUUAUUUGCUGAGGGUUUGUGUGAAGAAUGAAUGUAUACUUUGUCAAAUGCUUUGUCUGCGUCUUUUGAAAAUCUCCAGUGUUGGUGCAGAUGGCUCUGAGACUGGUGCCAGCCCCUCCUCCAAGGUUCCCCGCCCCCGAACAUUCUCCCCAGUUCCUGGGCAGCAGCUUUGGGAAGAGCGCAAUGGCUCCGGGAGCAACAUCUCUGUCUCAUCUCUUCUAUACGCCGUGUCAAAGGUCAAAGAGAAGCCAGUACUUUUAGACUAUGUUGAUUAGGACAGCCUCUGACGAUUAAAUGAACGAUUUAGGAUCCGCGCAACCAUGAACCGGAAAACCUAUUCUCAGGUGUCAUUUUGGGGAUAUAUUUGCUCCUGGUACUAAGGCUUUAAGUCCAGAGCUCACUUCAAGUGUGUGAGUGGGAAUAAGGGAGUUAGAAGCCCUAGAUCAUCCUGAGACAUGUCAAAGAACGGGACCGAAAGACAGGAAUUUAGAGGGACUGGGGAAGAGCCCUUCUUAUAUGUGGUUCCUCGUUGUAAUCUAUAACAACCUUACCUUGUUUUUAUUGAGAGUCUAGUAACUGGUAAGAUGUAGAGGACACUAUCUUUUCCAUAAUCUGACAACAGUAGCCAGGGGGCAUUUGGCGGCUGCCAUCCAAGCCUUGAACCCAGCAAUGACAUUUCUUGGCUGUGUCCCAGGAGGUGUCCAGAGAAAGAGCUGUGGGCCAAGCAGGUUUUGACUUGACGGGCAGGACAAGUGAGAUUUCCUUAAAAGGAAUAGAACAGGCUUGUUGGAAUAUCCUCCUGCACUGCACGUUUUUUUUUUAAAAUGUUGGCUGCACUUGGGAAACUUUACAAAACGCUGAUGCUUGAAUACCACCCACAGAGAUCCUGAUGUAAUUGGUCUAGGGUGUGGUCUCCACAUCAGAAUGUUUUUAAGUUCCUGUACAGCCAGGGUUGAGGACUACUGCUUUAGGAAUUUAAUUAUUUUGGAUGUGAUGUGCCAGGUUAAAAACCUGAAGGGCCCUGAAUGAUCUUCUGAAAAAUGGCGUCAGCCAUUAAAUGAAGGUGAUCUGUGCAUGUGGACAGAAUAUUCUGUGAUAGUAAAAACUGCCUGGUGGGAGGGGACAGCUGUCAGGAUCGGAAGCCCCAGUCAGGCCUCUGUGGAGCUGCAGGACUUCUAUCACCAAAACGUUUUUCUAUAAAAGGGUUUCAUCUUCAAGGAAUUCAUGGAAAAGACUCUGACAAGUUCAGGUUUCUGGUAACUGACUAUACUGCUGAACUGAAUGAAUAAGCAU